Molecule: ribosomal RNA, 253 nt
Filed under: uncultured bacterium
Lineage: Bacteria
Description: partial 16S ribosomal RNA
Rfam family: Bacterial small subunit ribosomal RNA
Source: RNAcentral
UACGUAGGUGGCAAGCGUUGUCCGGAAUUAUUGGGCGUAAAGCGCGCGCAGGCGGCUUCUUAAGUCUGAUGUGAAAUCUCGGGGCUCAACCCCGAGCGGCCAUUGGAAACUGGGGAGCUUGAGUACAUAAGAGGAGAGUGGAAUUCCACGUGUAGCGGUGAAAUGCGUAGAUAUGUGGAGGAACACCAGUGGCGAAGGCGACUCUCUGGUCUGUAACUGACGCUGAGGCGCGAAAGCGUGGGGAGCAAACAGG